RNAcentral lists this ribosomal RNA (425 nucleotides) under uncultured bacterium. RNAcentral's name for it is "partial 16S ribosomal RNA". It matches the Rfam family "Bacterial small subunit ribosomal RNA", at positions 354 to 796 of the family's 1533-position model. The record is from RNAcentral.
GUGGGGAAUCUUGCGCAAUGGGCGAAAGCCUGACGCAGCCAUGCCGUGUGAAUGAUGAAGGUCUUAGGAUUGUAAAAUUCUUUCACCGGGGACGAUAAUGACGGUACCCGGAGAAGAAGCUCCGGCUAACUUCGUGCCAGCAGCCGCGGUAAUACGAAGGGGGCUAGCGUUGCUCGGAAUUACUGGGCGUAAAGGGCGCGUAGGCGGACAGCUUAGUCAGAGGUGAAAGCCCAGGGCUCAACCUUGGAAUUGCCUUUGAUACUGACUGUCUUGAGUUUGGGAGAGGUGAGUGGAACUCCGAGUGUAGAGGUGAAAUUCGUAGAUAUUCGGAAGAACACCAGUGGCGAAGGCGACUCACUGGCCCAAUACUGACGCUGAGGCGCGAAAGCGUGGGGAGCAAACAGGAUUAGAAACCCUAGUAGUCC